This 399-nucleotide ribosomal RNA is filed under the name uncultured bacterium. RNAcentral's name for it is "bacterial SSU rRNA". It matches the Rfam family "Bacterial small subunit ribosomal RNA", at positions 356 to 747 of the family's 1533-position model. The record is from RNAcentral.
GGGGAAUAUUGGACAAUGGGCGAAAGCCUGAUCCAGCCAUGCCGCGUGUGUGAAGAAGGUCUUCGGAUUGUAAAGCACUUUAAGUUGGGAGGAAGGGUUGUAGAUUAAUACUCUGCAAUUUUGACGUUACCGACAGAAUAAGCACCGGCUAACUCUGUGCCAGCAGCCGCGGUAAUACAGAGGGUGCAAGCGUUAAUCGGAAUUACUGGGCGUAAAGCGCGCGUAGGUGGUUAGUUAAGUUGGAUGUGAAAUCCCCGGGCUCAACCUGGGAACUGCAUUCAAAACUGACUGACUAGAGUAUGGUAGAGGGUGGUGGAAUUUCCUGUGUAGCGGUGAAAUGCGUAGAUAUAGGAAGGAACACCAGUGGCGAAGGCGACCACCUGGACUGAUACUGACACU